GUCCACGCUGUAAACGAUGGGCACUAGGUGUCCGGGGUAUUGACCCCCUGGGUGCCGCAGCUAACGCAUUAAGUGCCCCGCCUGGGGAGUACGGUCGCAAGAUUAAAACUCAAAGGAAUUGACGGGGCCCGCACAAGCGGUGGAGCAUGUGGUUCAAUUCGACGCAACGCGAAGAACCUUACCUGGGUUAGACAACGGUGGACAGCCCCAGAAAUGGGGUCUUCCUUUCGGGGACUGCCGGUUCAGGUGCUGCAUGGCUGUCGU
This 264-nucleotide ribosomal RNA is filed under the name uncultured bacterium. RNAcentral's name for it is "partial 16S ribosomal RNA". It matches the Rfam family "Bacterial small subunit ribosomal RNA", at positions 793 to 1055 of the family's 1533-position model. The record is from RNAcentral.